UGGGGAAUAUUGCACAAUGGGCGCAAGCCUGAUGCAGCCAUGCCGCGUGUGUGAAGAAGGCCUUCGGGUUGUAAAGCACUUUCAGCGGGGAGGAAGGCGAUAAGGUUAAUAACCUUGUCGAUUGACGUUACCCGCAGAAGAAGCACCGGCUAACUCCGUGCCAGCAGCCGCGGUAAUACGGAGGGUGCAAGCGUUAAUCGGAAUUACUGGGCGUAAAGCGCACGCAGGCGGUCUGUCAAGUCGGAUGUGAAAUCCCCGGGCUCAACCUGUGAACUGCAUUCGAAACUGGCAGGCUAGAGUCUUGUAGAGGGGGAUAGAAUUCCAGGUGUAGCGGUGAAAUGCGUAGAGAUCUGGAGGAAUACCGGUGGCGAAGGCGGCCCCCUGGACAAAGACUGACGCUCAGGUGCGAAAGCGUGGGGAGCAAACAGG
This 429-nucleotide ribosomal RNA is filed under the name Chloroflexota bacterium. RNAcentral describes it as "Chloroflexi bacterium partial 16S ribosomal RNA". It matches the Rfam family "Bacterial small subunit ribosomal RNA", at positions 355 to 776 of the family's 1533-position model. Lineage: Bacteria; Bacillati; Chloroflexota. The record is from RNAcentral.